RNAcentral lists this ribosomal RNA (301 nucleotides) under uncultured bacterium. Its description in RNAcentral is "partial 16S ribosomal RNA". It matches the Rfam family "Bacterial small subunit ribosomal RNA", at positions 509 to 807 of the family's 1533-position model. The record is from RNAcentral.
CAGCAGCCGCGGGAAUACGGAGGAUCCAAGCGUUAUCCGGAAUUAUUGGGUUUAAAGGGUGCGUAGGCGGCAUGCUAAGUCAGGGGUGAAAGACGGUGGCUCAACCAUCGCAGUGCCUUUGAUACUGGUGUGCUUGAAUAUACAUGAGGUAGGCGGAAUGAGACAAGUAGCGGUGAAAUGCAUAGAUAUGUCUCAGAACACCAAUUGCGAAGGCAGCUUACUAAGGUAUGAUUGACGCUGAUGCACGAAAGCGUGGGGAUCAAACAGGAUUAGAUACCCCGGUAGUCCCUGUCUCUUAUAC